GACCGCUUAGCUCAGUUGGUUAGAGCGCAUCGUUCACAUCGAUGAGGUCGUAGGUUCGAGUCCUACAGCGGUCA
RNAcentral lists this transfer RNA (74 nucleotides) under Patescibacteria group bacterium. RNAcentral's name for it is "tRNA-Val". It matches the Rfam family "tRNA". Rfam says of the family: Transfer RNA (tRNA) molecules are approximately 80 nucleotides in length. The record is from RNAcentral.